AACGCUAGCUACAGGCUUAACACAUGCAAGUCGAGGGGCAGCACGGGAGUAGCAAUACAACUGGUGGCGACCGGCGCACGGGUGAGUAACGCGUAUGCAACCUACCUAUCAGAGGGGAAUAACCCGGCGAAAGUCGGACUAAUACCGCAUAAAACAGGGGCACCGCAUGGUGAUAUUUGUUAAAGAAAUUCGCUGAUAGAUGGGCAUGCGUUCCAUUAGGUAGUUGGUGAGGUAACGGCUCACCAAGCCGACGAUGGAUAGGGGAACUGAGAGGUUGGUCCCCCACACUGGUACUGAGACACGGACCAGACUCCUACGGGAGGCAGCAGUGAGGAAUAUUGGUCAAUGGGCGAGAGCCUGAACCAGCCAAGUCGCGUGAAGGAAGAAGGAUCUAUGGUUCGUAAACUUCUUUUGCAGGGGAAUAAAGUGCAGGACGUGUCCUGUUUUGUAUGUACCCUGAGAAUAAGGAUCGGCUAACUCCGUGCCAGCAGCCGCGGUAAUACGGAGGAUCCGAGCGUUAUCCGGAUUUAUUGGGUUUAAAGGGUGCGUAGGUGGUUUGAUAAGUCAGCGGUGAAAGUUUGCAGCUUAACUGUAAAAAUGCCGUUGAAACUGUCGGACUUGAGUGUAAAUGAGGUAGGCGGAAUGCGUGGUGUAGCGGUGAAAUGCAUAGAUAUCACGAAGAACUCCGAUUG
RNAcentral lists this ribosomal RNA (692 nucleotides) under uncultured bacterium. RNAcentral describes it as "bacterial SSU rRNA". It matches the Rfam family "Bacterial small subunit ribosomal RNA", at positions 32 to 715 of the family's 1533-position model. The record is from RNAcentral.